RNAcentral lists this ribosomal RNA (497 nucleotides) under uncultured bacterium. RNAcentral's name for it is "partial 16S ribosomal RNA". It matches the Rfam family "Bacterial small subunit ribosomal RNA", at positions 28 to 507 of the family's 1533-position model. The record is from RNAcentral.
GAUGAACGCUGGCGGCGUGCCUAAUACAUGCAAGUCGAGCGAACAGACGAGGAGCUUGCUCCUCUGACGUUAGCGGCGGACGGGAGAGUAACACGUGGAUAACCUACCUAUAAGACUGGGAUCACUUCGGGAAACCGGAGCUAAUACCGGAUAAUAUAUUGAACCGCAUGGUUCAAUAGUGAAAGACGGUUUUGCUGUCACUUAUAGAUGGAUCCGCGCCGCAUUAGCUAGUUGGUAAGGUAACGGCUUACCAAGGCGACGAUGCGUAGCCGACCUGAGAGGGUGAGCGGCCACACGGGAACUGGAAGCCGUUCAAGACUCCUGGGGGAAGCAGCAGUAGGGAUUCUUCCGCAAUGGGCGAAAGCCUGACGGAGCAGCGCCGCGUGAGUGAUGAAGGUCUUCGGAUCGUAAAACUCUGUUAUUAGGGAUGAACAAAUGUGUAAGUAACUAUGCACGUCUUGACGGUACCUAAUCAGAAAGCCACGGCUAACUACGUG